RNAcentral lists this ribosomal RNA (373 nucleotides) under uncultured organism. Its description in RNAcentral is "partial 16S ribosomal RNA". It matches the Rfam family "Bacterial small subunit ribosomal RNA", at positions 527 to 896 of the family's 1533-position model. The record is from RNAcentral.
GUAGGUGGCAAGCGUUGUCCGGAAUUAUUGGGCGUAAAGCGCGCGCAGGCGGUUCUUUAAGUCUGAUGUGAAAGCCCACGGGCUCAACCGUGGAGGGUCAUUGGAAACUGGAGAACUUGAGUACAGAAGAGGAAAGCGGAAUUCCACGUGUAGCGGUGAAAUGCGUAGAGAUGUGGAGGAACACCAGCGGCGAAGGCGGCUUUCUGGUCUGUAACUGACGCUGAGGCGCGAAAGCGUGGGGAGCAAACAGGAUUAGAUACCCUGGUAGUCCACGCCGUAAACGAUGAGUGCUAAGUGUUAGGGGGUUUCCGCCCCUUAGUGCUGCAGCUAACGCAUUAAGCACUCCGCCUGGGGAGUACGGCCGCAAAGGCUG